UGGUGUUACAUUGUUCAAGGGGUUUC
RNAcentral lists this non-coding RNA (26 nucleotides) under Mus musculus (house mouse). Lineage: Eukaryota; Metazoa; Chordata; Mammalia; Rodentia; Muridae. The record is from RNAcentral.